UGCUCCCCAAUGGCACGGCUAUGUCUAUACUAUACUAUUGUUGGCCAUCAAUGUUAUCGCUGCCAUUGUUCAGGCAAUGUUUAGCGAGUAUUUGGGAUCUACAUGUUUACGUAUUAAAUCGUGUCUAACAUCAGCCGUCUAUCGCAAGUCACUAGUGCUGAGCAAUAGUGCCAAACGGCGCACACCUACCGGUGAAAUAGUCAACAUUAUGGCCAUUGAUUGCCAACGAAUUAGCGAACAAGCCGUCAAUAUGAUUACAUUACUAUCCAAUCCUAUUCAACUGGUAAUAGCCGUCU
Oppia nitens is the source of this 296-nucleotide long non-coding RNA. RefSeq lists it as uncharacterized. The record is from RefSeq and is a predicted model, not a curated record. Lineage: Eukaryota; Metazoa; Arthropoda; Arachnida; Sarcoptiformes; Oppiidae. The transcript is spliced from 3 exons.